RNAcentral lists this ribosomal RNA (253 nucleotides) under uncultured bacterium. RNAcentral's name for it is "partial 16S ribosomal RNA". It matches the Rfam family "Bacterial small subunit ribosomal RNA", at positions 524 to 776 of the family's 1533-position model. The record is from RNAcentral.
UACGUAGGGGGCUAGCGUUGUCCGGAUUUAUUGGGCGUAAAGAGCGUGUAGGCGGCCAUGUAGGUCCGGUGUGAAAACUCGAGGCUCAACCUCGAGACGCCGAUGGAAACCAUCUGACUAGAGUCCGGAAGAGGAGAGUGGAAUUCCUGGUGUAGCGGUGAAAUGCGCAGAUAUCAGGAAGAACACCCGUGGCUAAGGCGGCUCUCUAGUACGUGACUGACGCUGAGACGCGAAAGCGUGGGGAGCGAACAGG